AAACCAUGAUAAGGGCACUAUCUUUGUAGACUCUUGAAUCUAUCCCAUGCUUCAAAUAAUGAUUCUCCAUCUAUCUGAAUAAAGUUUGUGAUAAAAUUCCUCAUAU
This is a small nucleolar RNA of Zingiber officinale, 106 nucleotides long. NCBI's taxonomy places the organism in Eukaryota, Viridiplantae, Streptophyta, Magnoliopsida, Zingiberales, Zingiberaceae. The record is from RefSeq and is a predicted model, not a curated record.